RNAcentral lists this long non-coding RNA (259 nucleotides) under Mytilus galloprovincialis (Mediterranean mussel). The record is from RNAcentral. Lineage: Eukaryota; Metazoa; Mollusca; Bivalvia; Mytilida; Mytilidae.
UUCAACGUCCUUGGGGGACUAAUAAAGGACGAAAUCGUUUCUAAAAACUAAUUUUACUGCUCUCAAUAUAUUUGUGUGUGACUACCUUAACAUGCGGUGGUAAAGAGAAAGAGAACAGGCAUGCUAAUGUAAUUUGAUACGGAGGAUAUAUAGAUGAUUAUACUAUUUACAAACAUCAUCCGGGAGCACCCCUGUGAUUCCGGUAUGAUACGUACUGAUCUACGUUUCCAACAACCAUAUACAAAUCAAGUAUAUAACA